AGCGAACGCUGGCGGCAGGCUUAACACAUGCAAGUCGAACGGGCGUAGCAAUACGUCAGUGGCAGACGGGUGAGUAACGCGUGGGAACGUACCUUUUGGUUCGGAACAACCCAGGGAAACUUGGGCUAAUACCGGAUAAGCCCUUACGGGGAAAGAUUUAUCGCCGAAAGAUCGGCCCGCGUCUGAUUAGCUAGUUGGUGUGGUAACGGCGCACCAAGGCGACGAUCAGUAGCUGGUCUGAGAGGAUGAUCAGCCACAUUGGGACUGAGACACGGCCCAAACUCCUACGGGAGGCAGCAGUGGGGAAUAUUGGACAAUGGGCGCAAGCCUGAUCCAGCCAUGCCGCGUGAGUGAUGAAGGCCCUAGGGUUGUAAAGCUCUUUUGUGCGGGAAGAUAAUGACGGUACCGCAAGAAUAAGCCCCGGCUAACUUCGUGCCAGCAGCCGCCGCGGU
RNAcentral lists this ribosomal RNA (452 nucleotides) under uncultured bacterium. Its description in RNAcentral is "bacterial SSU rRNA". It matches the Rfam family "Bacterial small subunit ribosomal RNA", at positions 29 to 524 of the family's 1533-position model. The record is from RNAcentral.